UACGAAGGGGGCUAGCGUUGUUCGGAAUUACUGGGCGUAAAGCGCACGUAGGCGGAUAUUUAAGUCGGGGGUGAAAUCCCGGGGCUCAACCCCGGAACUGCCUUCGAUACUGGGUAUCUUGAGUUCGGAAGAGGUGAGUGGAAUUGCGAGUGUAGAGGUGAAAUUCGUAGAUAUUCGCAGGAACACCAGUGGCGAAGGCGGCUCACUGGUCCGAUACUGACGCUGAGGUGCGAAAGCGUGGGGAGCAACAGG
This 252-nucleotide ribosomal RNA is filed under the name uncultured bacterium. RNAcentral describes it as "partial 16S ribosomal RNA". It matches the Rfam family "Bacterial small subunit ribosomal RNA", at positions 524 to 775 of the family's 1533-position model. The record is from RNAcentral.